CCUACGGGUGGCUGUAGUGGGGAAUAUUGGACAAUGGGGGGAACCCUGAUCCAGCCAUGCCGCGUGUGUGAAGAAGGCCCUCGGGUUGUAAAGCACUUUCAGUGAGGAAGAACGCCUGGUGGUUAAUACCCAUCAGGAAAGACAUCACUCACAGAAGAAGCACCGGCUAACUCCGUGCGAGCAGCCGCGGUAAUACGGAGGGUGCGAGCGUUAAUCGGAAUUACUGGGCGUAAAGCGCGCGUAGGUGGCUUGAUAAGCCGGUUGUGAAAGCCCCGGGCUCAACCUGGGAACGGCAUCCGGAACUGUCAAGCUAGAGUGCAGGAGAGGAAGGUAGAAUUCCCGGUGUAGCGGUGAAAUGCGUAGAGAUCGGGAGGAAUACCAGUGGCGAAGGCGGCCUUCUGGACUGACACUGACACUGAGGUGCGAAAGCGUGGGUAGCAAACAGGAUUAGAUUACCCGUGUAGUC
RNAcentral lists this ribosomal RNA (466 nucleotides) under Vreelandella stevensii. RNAcentral's name for it is "partial 16S ribosomal RNA". It matches the Rfam family "Bacterial small subunit ribosomal RNA", at positions 338 to 795 of the family's 1533-position model. Lineage: Bacteria; Pseudomonadati; Pseudomonadota; Gammaproteobacteria; Oceanospirillales; Halomonadaceae. The record is from RNAcentral.